RNAcentral lists this ribosomal RNA (534 nucleotides) under uncultured bacterium. RNAcentral's name for it is "bacterial SSU rRNA". It matches the Rfam family "Bacterial small subunit ribosomal RNA", at positions 97 to 605 of the family's 1533-position model. The record is from RNAcentral.
GGCGAACGGGUGAGUAAUGUGCGGAAGAUCUGCCCUAGAGACGGGGAUAACCGGUCGAAAGGCCGGCUAAUACCAGAUGACGCUCCCGGUUUAAGUCCGGGAAGUUAAAAGAUGGCGACUGCGCAAGCAGGCUAUCGCUCAAGGAGGAGUCCGCAUCCUAUCAGCUAGUUGGCGGGGUAACGGCCCACCAAGGCUAUGACGGGUAGCUGGUCUGAGAGGACGACCAGCCACACUGGGACUGAGACACGGCCCAGACUCCUACGGGAGGCAGCAGUUGGGAAUUUUGGACAAUGGGGGAAACCCUGAUCCAGCGACACCGCGUGGGCGAUGAAGGCCUUCGGGUUGUAAAGCCCUGUCGGAAGUGAAGAAGGCUGUAUCCGUUAACAGCGGAAACAGCCAGACGUUAGCUUCGGAGGAAGCCACGGCUAACUCUGUGCCAGCAGCCGCGGUAAGACAGAGGUGGCGAGCGUUGUCCGGAUUUACUGGGCGUAAAGGGUGUGUAGGCGGUCGUGUAAGUCAGUUGUGAAAUCCGUC